Molecule: long non-coding RNA, 555 nt
Organism: Ornithodoros turicata
Lineage: Eukaryota; Metazoa; Arthropoda; Arachnida; Ixodida; Argasidae
Exons: 3
Source: RefSeq, a predicted model, not a curated record
UCCCCUUUUGCACCGCUGCUCCCUUCGGGCUGAUAGGGAACAUACUUAUUCUUGGAAUAUUGUCAACGUCAGUAGGUCACCUGACCUCCGUAGUGAUUUGAAGUGCUAGGCCCAGACAGGAUUCAUUCGCCAUCGUCGGCGUCAAGACGUCCUCGUGUGAAAGACAACGCUUUUGUGUGUGUGUGUGUUUCUCCACAUAGAAAACUACAACAGUGAAACGUGUCCAGGUAGGGGAGUUAGAGUACGCUGACAAGCAAGAAGAAUGUUUGAUGAAUAUUUCUGACGACAAGACUGCGCUCCAGGAUGAAAUGGACGUUUUAAUAGAAGAAUGCAACAGGAAUUUGCUUGCGAGAAGGCGUUUGUAUGUGUGUUGUGUCGUGCGUUCUGUGUUCCAUGCCAUGUCGUCCAUCGAUAGGAACCAACUCGAUCGCAUCAGCGCUCUCUUGGAUUACCACAAGACAAGCCCUCUCCUUCCAAAACGAAGUCACUCAGGCACACAGCGUAGGACGGGAGGAAUGGAAGGCGUCGCCCCCGGCUCUACUGAAAUCUAUUGGG